CGUUUAGGGGUAAACCUGAGAAACCCGAAAGGUCGAAGGGAGAAAUUCAUUCGCGUUUCGUCGUCGGAGGGAAGCGGUCGCGCGACGAGAUCGACUCUCGGGCCGAUUUCGCGCCAUCCGUUUUUCGAACCGGCAGCGAACGCGUGCACUUUUCUUCUGGUAGGACGUCGCGAUCCGUUGGGUGUCGGUCUACGGUACGCGGUGGAGCCCGCUCGUCGUCGUCUCUCGUACGUACGAACGGACCCGCGUGACACUCCCGACCGACUCGCUCGACGGUACACGAACGGUCAGAGGCCGCUCUCAGUUGGGGAGCGUCCGGCUCGCGGCAAGCGCGCCCGUCCCGUCGGUAAUCGGACCUAGUGCCGUUUCCGACGCCGGGCGACUGUUGGCCGCGAAGUUCUCGGACAGACCUUACGUAUUUCUAAAAUACCGACCAAUCUGCGACGCUAUAGCUUUGGGUACUUUCAGGACCCGUCUUGAAACACGGACCAAGGAGUCUAGCAUGUACGCGAGUCAUUGGGAUUUUAACUAAACCUAAAGGCGCAAUGAAAGUGAAAGAUCUUCCUCGUCGAGGAUCGAGGGAAGACGAGCGGUUUCACCGUUAAAAGUGGCCGUUCCGCAUUCCCGGGGCGUCUCGUUCUCUCAUUGCGAGAAGAGGCGCACCAAGAGCGUACACGCUGGGACCCGAAAANAUGGUGAACUAU
This 704-nucleotide ribosomal RNA is filed under the name Dactylotrypes longicollis. RNAcentral's name for it is "eukaryotic LSU rRNA". It matches the Rfam family "Eukaryotic large subunit ribosomal RNA", at positions 406 to 834 of the family's 3401-position model. The record is from RNAcentral. Lineage: Eukaryota; Metazoa; Arthropoda; Insecta; Coleoptera; Curculionidae.